RNAcentral lists this ribosomal RNA (253 nucleotides) under uncultured bacterium. RNAcentral's name for it is "partial 16S ribosomal RNA". It matches the Rfam family "Bacterial small subunit ribosomal RNA", at positions 524 to 776 of the family's 1533-position model. The record is from RNAcentral.
UACGGGGGGGGCAAGCGUUGUUCGGAAUUACUGGGCGUAAAGCGCACGUAGGCGGACUGUUAAGUCGGGGGUGAAAUCCUGGGGCUCAACCUCAGAAUUGCCUCCGAUACUGGCAGUCUCGAGUGCGGGAGAGGUGAGUGGAAUUCCCAGUGUAGAGGUGAAAUUCGUAGAUAUUGGGAAGAACACCAGUGGCGAAGGCGGCUCACUGGCCCGUAACUGACGCUGAGGUGCGAAAGCGUGGGGAGCAAACGGG